RNAcentral lists this ribosomal RNA (292 nucleotides) under uncultured bacterium. Its description in RNAcentral is "partial 16S ribosomal RNA". It matches the Rfam family "Bacterial small subunit ribosomal RNA", at positions 505 to 796 of the family's 1533-position model. The record is from RNAcentral.
GUGCCAGCAGCCGCGGUAAUACGUAGGGGGCGAGCGUUGUCCGGAUUCAUUGGGCGUAAAGCGCGUGCAGGCGGCCUGGUAAGUCGGCCGUGAAAGCGCCAGGCUUAACCUGGCGAGGUCGGGCGAGACUGCUAGGCUGGAGGCCGGUAGAGGGCGGUGGAAUUCCGGGUGUAGUGGUGGAAUGCGUAGAGAUCCGGAGGAACACCAGUGGCGAAGGCGGCCGCCUGGGCCGGUCCUGACGCUGAGACGCGAAAGCGUGGGGAGCAAUCCGGAUUAGAUACCCUAGUAGUCC